AAAAUUGGAAAUUUUUCAUAAAUCAGUGUUACAAACAAGAAGAUUAGCAUGGCCCCUGCGCAAGAAUGACACGCAAAUUCAUGAAGCGUUCCAUAUUUUU
RNAcentral lists this small nuclear RNA (100 nucleotides) under Suricata suricatta (meerkat). Lineage: Eukaryota; Metazoa; Chordata; Mammalia; Carnivora; Herpestidae. The record is from RNAcentral.